This 273-nucleotide ribosomal RNA is filed under the name Listeria monocytogenes. Its description in RNAcentral is "partial 23S ribosomal RNA". It matches the Rfam family "Bacterial large subunit ribosomal RNA", at positions 255 to 522 of the family's 2925-position model. The record is from RNAcentral. Lineage: Bacteria; Bacillati; Bacillota; Bacilli; Caryophanales; Listeriaceae.
GAAACGGAAAGAGCCCAAACCAAGAAGCUUGCUUCUUGGGGUUGUAGGACACUCUAUACGGAGUUACAAAAGAAAGUUAUAAAUGAAGCGGUCUGGAAAGGCCCGCCAAAGACGGUAACAGCCCGGUAGUUGAAAUGGCUUUCCCUCCAGAGUGGAUCCUGAGUACGGCGGAACACGUGAAAUUCCGUCGGAAUCCGGGAGGACCAUCUCCCAAGGCUAAAUACUCCCUAGUGACCGAUAGUGAACCAGUACCGUGAGGGAAAGGUGAAAAGC